AACGAACGCUGGCGGCAUGCCUAACACAUGCAAGUCGAACGAGACCUUCGGGUCUAGUGGCGCACGGGUGGGUAACGCGUGGGAACCUGCCCUUAGGUUUGGAAUAACUCCCCGAAAGGGGUGCUAAUACCGGCUAAUGUCUUCGAACCAAAGAUUUAUCGCCUUUGGAUGGGCCCGCGUUGGAUUAGCUAGUUGGUAGGGUAAAAGCCUACCAAGGCGACGAUCCAUAGCUGGUAUGAGAGGAUGGUCAGCCACACUGGCACUGAGACACGGCCCAGACUCCUACGGGAUGCAGCAGUGGGUAAUAUUGGAAAAUGGGCGAAAGGCUGAAGCAGCAAUGCUGGGUGAGUGAUGAAGGCCUUGGGGUUGUAAAGCUCUUUUACCCGUGAUGAUAAUGACAUUACCGGGAGAAUAAGCUCCGGCUAACUCCGUG
This 433-nucleotide ribosomal RNA is filed under the name uncultured bacterium. RNAcentral describes it as "partial 16S ribosomal RNA". It matches the Rfam family "Bacterial small subunit ribosomal RNA", at positions 29 to 507 of the family's 1533-position model. The record is from RNAcentral.